This is a long non-coding RNA of Syngnathus typhle (broad-nosed pipefish), 415 nucleotides long. RefSeq lists it as uncharacterized. The record is from RefSeq and is a predicted model, not a curated record. The transcript is spliced from 3 exons. NCBI's taxonomy places the organism in Eukaryota, Metazoa, Chordata, Actinopteri, Syngnathiformes, Syngnathidae.
CACUGGUUUGACUCCAGAGACUCACUUCUCCUCUGCUAAAAAGGAAAUUGUGGCUGUUUUUUUUUUUUUAUAGGUCAUAGCAGACUGCUGGUGGAGGGCCAUGUCAGCAAUGUCCUGCUUUGAUGGAUGUGGCAGCCCCACACACACACGCUCUGACAGCGCCCCCUAUUGACACGUCGCGAGCUAUUGCUGCUUCACAAGAAUGGGAGUCCAGCUGCUUCUGUUUCUCAUCGGCAACUCGCUCCCUCGAGUCUGCCUCGGGGGUCCGGAAGAAAAGAACAACCCACGCGAGGCCAAUAAGGAGUGGUUUGUAUGAAUAAGCAUAACAGGAGCCAUGUGGAUCUGCUCCCUGUAUUGCAUCUGCACAUAACAGCAGGCAUUUAUUGGCUGCGUAUGAAAUUCCAGCCCUAGCCAC